UACGGAGGAUCCGAGCGUUAUCCGGAUUUAUUGGGUUUAAAGGGUGCGUAGGCGGGUUUUUAAGUCAGUGGUGAAAGUUUGCAGCUCAACUGUAAAAUUGCCAUUGAAACUGAAGACCUUGAGUGUAAAUGAGGUAGGCGGAAUGUGUUGUGUAGCGGUGAAAUGCUUAGAUAUGACACAGAACACCGAUUGCGAAGGCAGCUUACUAAGAUACAACUGACGCUGAGGCACGAAAGCGUGGGGAUCGAACAGGAUUAGUUACCCUGGUAGUCCACGCAGUAAACGAUGAUGACUAGCUGUUUGCGAUAUACAGUAAGUGGCUAAGCGAAAGCGAUAAGUAAUCCACCUGGGGAGUACGUUCGCAAGAAUGAA
This 372-nucleotide ribosomal RNA is filed under the name uncultured bacterium. RNAcentral describes it as "bacterial SSU rRNA". It matches the Rfam family "Bacterial small subunit ribosomal RNA", at positions 524 to 898 of the family's 1533-position model. The record is from RNAcentral.